GGGGCAACCCUGAUCAGCCAUGCCGCGUGAGUGAAGAAGGCCUUCGGGUUGUAAAGCUCUUUCGGUGGGAACGAAACGGUUACUCCUAACACGGGUGACUACUGACGGUACUCACAGAAGAAGCACCGGCUAACUACGUGCCAGCAGCCGCGGUAAUACGUAGGGUGCGAGCGUUAAUCGGAAUUACUGGGCGUAAAGCGUGCGCAGGCGGUGGCUCAAGCCAGGCGUGAAAUCCCCGGGCUUAACCUGGGAAUGGCGUUUGGGACUGGGUCGCUAGAGUGUGGCAGAGGGAGGUGGAAUUCCACGUGUAGCGGUGAAAUGCGUAGAGAUGUGGAGGAACACCAGUGGCGAAGGCGACUCUCUGGUCUGUAACUGACGCUGAGGAGCGAAAGCGUGGGGAGCAAACAGGAUUAGAUACCCUGGUAGUCCACGCCGUAAACGAUGAGUGCUAAGUGUUAGAGGGUUUCCGCCCUUUAGUGCUGAAGUUAACGCAUUAAGUACUCCGCCUGGGGAGUACGG
Molecule: ribosomal RNA, 519 nt
Filed under: uncultured bacterium
Lineage: Bacteria
Description: bacterial SSU rRNA
Rfam family: Bacterial small subunit ribosomal RNA
Source: RNAcentral